Molecule: ribosomal RNA, 238 nt
Filed under: Bacillus toyonensis
Lineage: Bacteria; Bacillati; Bacillota; Bacilli; Caryophanales; Bacillaceae
Description: partial 16S ribosomal RNA
Rfam family: Bacterial small subunit ribosomal RNA
Source: RNAcentral
AGUCUGACGGAGCACGCCGCGUGAGUGAUGAAGGCUUUCGGGUCGUAAAACUUGUUGUUAGGGAAGAACAAGUGCUAGUUGAAUAAGCUGGCACCUUGACGGUACCUAACCAGAAAGCCGCGGCUAACUACGGCUAGCAGCCGCGGUAAUACUGAGGUGGCCAGCUUAUCCGGAAUGGGGGCGUAAAGCGGUUAUUGGGUCUUAAUUCUACUUUCCCCCCAUAUUUUCUUCUCUUAUA